UAGUCCACGCCGUAAACGAUGAGAACUAGCCGUUGGACCCGUUGGGGUUUAGUGGCGCAGCUAACGCGUUAAGUUCUCCGCCUGGGGAGUACGGCCGCAAGGUUAAAACUCAAAUGAAUUGACGGGGGCCCGCACAAGCGGUGGAGCAUGUGGUUUAAUUCGAUGCAACGCGAAAAACCUUACCUACUCUUGACAUCCUCAGAACUUGUUAGAGAUAACUUGGUGCCUUCGGGAACUGAGUGACAGGUGCUGCAUGGCUGUCGUCAGCUCGUGUCGUGAGAUGUUGGGUUAAGUCCCGUAACGAGCGCAACCCCUAUCCCUAGUUGCUAGCGGUCCGGCCGAGGACUCUAGGGAGACUGCCGGUGACAAACCGGAGGAAGGCGGGGACGACGUCAAGUCAUCAUGGCCCUUACGAGUAGGGCUACACACGUGCUACAAUGGGCGGUACAGAGGGCUGCAAAGCAGUGAUGUGGAGCUAACCUCAGAAAGCCGUUCGAAGUCCGGAUUGGAGUCUGCAA
RNAcentral lists this ribosomal RNA (518 nucleotides) under uncultured bacterium. Its description in RNAcentral is "bacterial SSU rRNA". It matches the Rfam family "Bacterial small subunit ribosomal RNA", at positions 791 to 1310 of the family's 1533-position model. The record is from RNAcentral.